This is a long non-coding RNA of Hyaena hyaena (striped hyena), 1594 nucleotides long. RefSeq lists it as uncharacterized. The transcript has 6 exons. NCBI's taxonomy places the organism in Eukaryota, Metazoa, Chordata, Mammalia, Carnivora, Hyaenidae. The record is from RefSeq and is a predicted model, not a curated record.
CGUCAGACGUGUGAGGUGGCCGUCAGGAUGCGGUACCUGCCCGGGGCCGCUCCCACCCGGGUGGAGUGAGGGGCGUCCCUCAGCUCCUCUCAUUCCAGCCCUUCCCGCCCUCCCCGCUCCGCGUCCCUAGGCCAGCUGUUAGGUGCACCUGCCUUUCCCUCUCCUUGGGCACCGUUCUCAGCACCCCCUUCACGACGGUCGUUCCCGAUGCGCCCUGUCUGUAGCCCUCUGUGACCUUACCUGAGGGAGCCGCCGUGCCUCUCCAUCAUGCCGCCUCAUCUUGAGUAUUUCCCCCCAUGGUUUCCAUCACAGACCAGAUAACUGAACAGCCUCCUGUAAAAUGUUGGAUGAAAACAGCAAACCCCUUUGAACUGUACAGGCCUGGCAUUUGGCUGGUGGAAUAAAGGAAGGAGGAAGUGCACAAAACAGCCAACUACCAUUUGGAACUACCAUUCCAAAACCAGUGUGUCGAGUUUUGCCUCCUCUCCGGUGGUUAGGGGCGUCUUGGGAGGGGAUUAACCCACACGCACCAACGGGAAUACAGUUCCUUCAUCUGGAAAAUCAAGUGGACAUUUCUGUUUGUGCUAUGUAAACAAAAGCUGCGACACACAGAAAACCCUAACCCUGGAAUCGGUACUGGUAAUGACAUUUCAAAGAGGAAGUGACCGUGUCUGCACCUCCCACAUGCCAUCAUCUUCCCACGUGAUGUUUCAGGAAGGGCGUGGCUGUGAAAUCACGAAAGUGCUGACUCAUGGACAUUCUGCUGGUGUUGACCUAGGAGAGGAGGGAACCUGGGCCUGGAGCGUUCAAGGCCCCAUGUGUGUGAUGGGCAUCUCCAGAACACAAGACCCGCAGAGCUGACUUCAGGUGCCAGACUGUCCACAAAGCAGGACAUGUCCAGCUGCAAACUGCAGGGGUCAGGACGAGGACUCGUGCAUCUGACCGCCUGGGGAGGGGGCAGCAUGGGUGCUGUGGCCCUCGUGAGCAGGUGUGACUGUGUGCGCUUCAGAACAGCGUCUUGCCUGAGGCUCUCACCUGCCACUCCUCUCUGGUUACUCCGGGGCUUGGCUAUGGUGCACAAACAUGCCAUGAUGUCUCUGAAUUCCACCUUUUCAGUCCUGUGGUUUCUGAGGUACAUGUUACAUGCAUGCAGUGCUGCCUGCCUACUGCACCCUGGGAUGGAGGAGUGCAGGCAUCACUCUUCGGGGAGCCCUAGUCAUCUCUGGACAUCGGUCAGUGGCCAGCCUGGGCCCCAUGUGUGGCUUCUCCAUUGAUGAAGUGAGAAGGUCAGUGACCUCACGGACGGGGACCCCAGAGAGGUGCACAGUCACAUUGGAGAGACGGCCAGGACCUGGGCCCUGGGUUGGACUAGGAAAGAAGGAAGAAGAUUCUGAAACUCCACCCCAUGUCUCAGGGAGUAAAUCAACAGAGGCCCAGAGAGCAGAGGUGAGCUGUGCCCGGCAGGAGAACCAGCAGCUUCUAUGAGCCAGGCCCUGUCGCUGGCACUCAGGCCUCCCCCUCACAACACCUUGUGGGAUCAGGGCUGGUGCCUGCAGUGACGGGAAACGAUGCCCAGGAGGGUGAGGUGGAGCCC